Long non-coding RNA from Cyprinus carpio (common carp), 1664 nucleotides. The record is from Ensembl. NCBI's taxonomy places the organism in Eukaryota, Metazoa, Chordata, Actinopteri, Cypriniformes, Cyprinidae.
AUUGUAUAUAUAUUUUACUAAGCUGUUUUUUAUGAUACUGAACACAUUACAGCGUCUGAAGAGCUGAUAAAUGUGUAUUUCUACAGCUAAAACUUCACAUUAUAAGAAGUCUGUUUCCUCAGAACAGUUUUGCCUCAUGGAAUAAUUAAAAUAUCUUGUUUUGAUGAGUGGUAUAUUAUUAUUAUUAUUACUAACGAAAACCUUUACUGCUUAAGUGCUCUUUACUGCUCAGGUGCUAUUUUAGAAUUCAUGUCUUGUGAUUGUUGAGUGUGUGGCAGAAAUGUACGACGGGGCGCUACAUAGCCUAACAUAGGAAGAAGAGGAUUUGAGAGUUGUGCACCAGAAAUGUAAACGGAUUCAGUUGACGCACUGUGGUCACUUAAUGUUUUCUCUGGGCUUGAAGCUCUUUCACAUGCAUGGAAUGUCCAAAGUCCUGCUGUCAAGCAUGCCAAGAACAGAUUUGGGGGAAUUUAUCAUCACACCACUUGCUCACCAAUGGAUCCUCUACAGUGAAUGGGUGCCGUCAGAAUGAGAGUCCAAACAGCUGAUAAAAACAUCACAAUAAUCCACAAGUAAUCCACAAUCCAUCAAUUAACAUAUUGAGAAGUAAAAAGCUGCAUGAGUGUGUGCAAAUGUGCUUGAGACCGAGACAAGACCAAGACCAUAAAAAAAAUGGUCUUAAGACCGGUCUCAAGACCAAGAAUAGUCUCGAUUACUACAACAUUAAUAUAUAUCACAUAUAGUGUUUAAAAUCUUCAGGCAUUUUUAUUUUUAUUUCAAUUUUAGUUUUAGUAUUUUUUAGUACUUUAACAUUUUAUUUCAGUUAGCCUAGUACCAUAAGAACAUUUACCUUUGUAUGUUUGUUUUAUCUACUAUUUAUAUUUUUUUUGAUUACAGCUUUAUUUCAGUUACCGAAGAUGGAUAGUUUUAGUAACAAUAACAAAAAAUUAAUGAGAGCGAGUAAAUAAUAACAGAACGUUCAAUAUUCUUUAGCUUUUAAAACACUAUUUAAAGGGGUCAUGUUGCCAAAAAGAACAUUAUUUUAUGUAUUUGGUGUAAUGCAAUGUAUUUAUGUGGUUUAAUGUUCAAAAAUCACAUUAUUUUCCACACACUGUACAUUAUUUUUGCUCCUCUAUGCCCCGCCUUCUGAAACGUGUCGAUUUUUACAAAGCUCAUCGUUCUGAAAAGCGAGUUGUACGCUGAUUGGCCAGCUAUUCAGUGCGUUGUGACUGGCCAAAUACCUCAAUCGUGUGACAGAAACGUUACGCCCCUUAACAUAUUGUGAUGCCGAGUCCCCCCAUGCGACAAGACAAAACUGAUAAAACCCAUUACAAAUGAGCCAUUUGUUGCAUCCAGUGGGGACAUAAUUAAUGUUACUGAUUAUAAUGACUUAUACCGUCUUUUUACGCUUUGUGUAUCGCGCAGCAUAAACAUAAAACCAUGUCUGCAUUUGUGAUUGAAGAAACAACAAGCGCUACUCUACACUGCUCAAAACUCGUGUUGAAUUAUCAGUGGCAAAUUCUUUAAAUAUGAAAACAUACUUACAGACUGUGAGUCAGAAUCUGUCCUCGUAAAGUUGGAACUGCCCCACUUUAUAGAAACACAGACGGCAUAGGCUAGUCUCCCAGGAAACGGUCCUCAAUAAAAUUCGCUGCACACACUCA